This is a long non-coding RNA of Austrofundulus limnaeus, 488 nucleotides long. RefSeq lists it as uncharacterized. The record is from RefSeq and is a predicted model, not a curated record. Lineage: Eukaryota; Metazoa; Chordata; Actinopteri; Cyprinodontiformes; Rivulidae. The transcript is spliced from 2 exons.
GCCCAUGGUCUCCAAAGGGCCCUGGGCAGUGAAGGCACGGACAUAUGGAUGCCGGAUAUGCAUGGACAUGUCUCCCCGCACUUCCUGCAUCUGCGCUCUCUGUCCCCACACUUUUCUCAGCCGUAACAGCUGUUUUAUCCAUUAUUAACAUGUGGUAAUGCGUUUUUCUCAGCCGUCUUUGAACGCACCAUAAGCGUGCGCAAGCUACUCCUGCAGAUGAAGAUGACUGAUAGGAGCUGCUGUGCUGAGCAGAGCCUCACGGUGUAAAGAGCAACUAAAACUUGGCACAGUUUUUACCAAACAAACCAUUUACAAAGAACAAGGUCAGGGAGGAGACAGACCUGAUAGCCUACAGCAGCAGGGAUCAUGAUGCAGACUUUCCUCAGGUAAGGAGAAAUUAUGACUAUUAUUCUUGAAGGGGAACAGUCUUUAAAAACUGGUGUAUAGUUUGAAGUCUCUACUUUUGACAUAAUUUGUAACAGAGUCUC